RNAcentral lists this long non-coding RNA (3020 nucleotides) under Equus caballus (horse). RNAcentral's name for it is "lncRNA (ENSECAG00000049118.1)". The record is from RNAcentral. Lineage: Eukaryota; Metazoa; Chordata; Mammalia; Perissodactyla; Equidae.
AAAUCAUUUAAUCUCUUUUUUUCUCUCUCUACAAGUGAAUAUUUAAAGACGAUAUUUUCAUAACAUUUAGCUUUUGUUACAAAACAAACCACCCCAAGAGCUAGUGGCUUAAAAGAUAAUUUUAAAAAAGAUAAAUAUUUAUAAUUUCUUAUUAUUCGGCUGGCUGUUCUUCCGGUCGGGGUAAGCUUGGCGGAGAUUGGUUCAUCCCAGAGGGCCUCAUUCACACGUCUGGCUGUUGGCACUAUGUCAGGUGAGGCAGGGCAUAACUUGGCCAUGUGUCCCUCAUCAUCCAGCAAGCUAGCCUGGGCUCAUUCACAUGGUGUGAUUGCAGAGUUUCCAAGAAAAACACACCAAUACUUUUCAAGUCUCUGCUUAUAUCACAUUUGCUAUUGUCCCAUUAACCAAAGCAAGGCACAUGGUUAAGCCAAGAGUCAGUGUGGGAGGGAAAUGCUCAAGGACAUGGAGAGAGGGAGGAAAUUAUAACAGUCCUUUUUGCAAAUAAUCUCCCACAACUAUUAAUGUAUUUCUAAUUAUGUGAAUUCAUCUUCUGAGUUGCUCAUGUUAGAAACCUCAAAGUUAUUUUCUGCCUCUUUUUUCUCUCAUAGAGUAAAAUGGGAAAUUAUUUAAUUAGCUAAGUAAAAAUGUAUUUUGUGGAAAAUCAUUUCCUCUCAGUACUUUAAUAAUCUAAAUAUUAAUAUAAACUUUGAUCACAGACCCAGUACUGUUUUGAUUAAUUAUACUCAGAAACUGGAAAAGAAAGAACAUAAUUGGCAGACUAAAAUAUGAAAUUUAUUCAAAUCCCUUAUAACAAAACAUGGCUUAAUAUACCAGUAAUACGUUUCAUUUUAUUUGUUUUCUUACAAAUAUGCAAAGAGGUAAUCACCAAUAAGUGGUAGUAUUUAAACACUUGGAAAAAAUAUUAAGCAAUACUCUUGUUGUAGCUAAUUGUGCAUAUGCAUCUUAUCUGAAGUUGGCAGCAAGUGAAAUUAAAUGGUUUUCCAAAUGACUGCAUUGCCAAUCCACCUUCUUUCAGCUAAUUGACUGAUUUUGGUCAUUGCUGCCUCCCAAGGGGGUCACUUGCACUGACGUGGAGUAUUGACAAUCCCGUAUGGCACUAAAGCUUGCUACAACCAUCGGUUGGUGCAACCCCACAGGGGGCCUUUUAGAAAGCACUGAAUAGGGAUCCUUUCCUGUUGAGAGAGAUGUGGAAUGGGAUACAGGCACGGCAUUGCAGAGAGGAAUGCUGUUGGACCCCACUCAAACAGCCUCAUAACAAGUCUGGGCCUUGGUUUAUUCAUCUGGAAAACAGGAGAUCGCCUUGAAAGUCUUCUCGCAAUCUGUGGCUCUCUGAGUCCACGUGAGCUCUGCCGGCGUAAUAGAAUCAGCACACUGUUAACCACAGAAAUGGAGGAAGGAGCCCUGAACACCCCAAUUCUGGUUAAAACAGGAGGCAAGAGCAAUCACAACCAGUGUCUAGUAACAUGUUUACCAUUCUGCAGACACAAAUCCAAAGUUCAAGCGACACAAGCAUAACAGCAGGGUCGGAAUCCAAAACUUCGCAUACACCAAAAGGCUACAGUCAUCUGUGACUGGUGUUGGUUCCAGAAUUGAGCCUUGAUUGUUUUUCAAAUGUUGGAAAAUGUCUGUGCAGCAUCUUGUGGUUGAAAUGCCUGCUCACCUGCUUUCUGAGGUCUGUCAGGUUGACAAGCUCAGGAGGGAGUCUCCGCCACUUUUUGAGCCCCAGAUCUCUGAGAAUCUGUAACAGUCCCAGGUGCAGUCAGUUGUCCAUGCAACGUGCAUAUGCACCUCACAUAUGCAAACAAUUAAGAAGGCUUCCUGGGUCUCAGGCGCCAGGGGAAACCUGCUUGUCCGGCCAACCCCUCACUCUCCUUCCUGUUUCUGACCUGCGUCAUAACACCACUCGUCGUCUCAACCCUAGUUGGCACCCACGCCAGUCAAGCCACUCGACUUGAAAGUAAACUCCUCAUCUCCAGUUGUAGGUCCUUCUGGCUGUGCUGUGUGGGAUGCCACCUCAGCAUGGCCUGAUGAGUGGUGCUAGAUCUGCGCCCAGGAUCCAAACUAGUGAAACACUGGACCACUGAAGUGGAGCGCAUAAACUUAACCACUCAGCAUGGGCCUGGCCCCACCAUUUCUUUUUUCUGGCGUUUGCUUUGACUGCCUUCCAAGGUGGUGUGCAAUGAAGCCGACAGGAGGCCAAUGCGGAGGGGCUCCAUGAGAGGCAGUUGGUACCGCCUUCUUUCUUCAGUCGCUUGUUUUUCUGCUGUGACCUUCUGGGAGAGGGAUGAAGGAGAGAGAAUUAGGCAGGAAAAGGCGGUGAGGCUGGGGCCUGUGGUGUAUUGCAAAACCAGCCUCAGAUCCUUUCCAUCCCUGUGUGCGUGCGCCUGCUCAGUGCGGCCUCGCAGAUCCUCCCGUGCAGAGGUGGCUUUUACUUUUCCACCUUCUGCAUCUGGGCUGCUCUUGUGACCCAGCCACCUGACCCAAGCAGAGGCUUAAAAGCCCCUGCCCUGGGACUCGCCUUCUCCCUGCACUUGGAACCCUGAGGGCACCACGUGAAGGAGCCUGAGCUAGCCUGCUGGAUGAUGAGAGACACAUGCGUGGCAAAGCCAUCCUCAUUGCCUGGGCUGACACAGAACCAAUUGUGAGACUUGUGAGCCCAUCCUAGCCCAUCCGUGCCCUACUGAGCCACCAGCUGGCCCCAGGCAGAGCAUGAGCUCCACAGAGGUCAGGGAAGUGGCCCAGGCAAAAACUGCCCCGUCAGCCCAGAGAAGAAUGAGGAGGAAUACCCAUUGGUUGUUUUGAGCCACUCGAUUCUAGGAAGGCUUGGUCUGAGCAAAAGCGAACUGUGACAGGCCCGUCCCCAGCCAUGCUGUAUUUGGACUCUGACGUCCUGACCCAGCAUCACUCCACAUGGAGAGCUACCUCACUUACUCAAAUGUACAGCUUCUCCUGGCUUCCCUCUUGGUCAGCCGGGCCCCAGCCACUUAUCACUUGCUGAAAUA